Molecule: small nuclear RNA, 291 nt
Filed under: Camelus bactrianus (Bactrian camel)
Lineage: Eukaryota; Metazoa; Chordata; Mammalia; Artiodactyla; Camelidae
Also listed under: 1 other name
Description: 7SK RNA
Rfam family: 7SK RNA
About the family: 7SK was discovered as an abundant small nuclear RNA in the mid-70s but a possible function has only recently been suggested.
Source: Rfam by way of RNAcentral
GGGUGGUCUGACUGUGACUUCUGUCACUCCAUUGAUCGCUAGGGUUGAUUUGGCUGAUUUGGCCCUCCACGUGCCUCCCUCCCAAAGCUGCAUGCUUGUUCGAAGAGGACAACCUUCAUUUAUAGAGGAGAACCAGCCUUUAGUCAAGGCUAUACGAGCAGCUGCAGGCCCCUGCUAGAACCUCCAGUCAAGACCUCAGUGUCCAUUUGCAGGGGAACUGAGGGUAAUCAAGCUUCCAAGACUGCAGACACAUCCAAAUGAGGUGCUGCAUGAGGCAGUCUCCCUUUCUUU